This 939-nucleotide long non-coding RNA is filed under the name Oncorhynchus mykiss (rainbow trout). RNAcentral's name for it is "lncRNA (ENSOMYG00000056279.1)". The record is from RNAcentral. Lineage: Eukaryota; Metazoa; Chordata; Actinopteri; Salmoniformes; Salmonidae.
UGAGCGUGGCUUGUCCUUUCCACCUGGAACCUAAGCAUAUGCAGCUGACGAACGGAGGGUUUGCACAGACUGGAGAGAUCUACUGGAUGAAGGACACGUUCACUGCUGGUGCCAUGGACGAGCCUCUCUGGACCUCAGUGUCAGGUGGAGCCCUGCAGUAAGAUGCUCGAGUCUAUGUUUGUCUGCAGUUCCCCUCCUGUGACCUCUCACCUUUGGCUGCUCAUUCUCUCCUGCUCUCUUCAUGGUCAACCAGCCCUGUCUGACCUGGUGUUCUCCACCCAUCCAGAGGAUGGUGUUGGUGUACUGGGUGCUCCCCUCACACUGUACUGUGCAGUGUAUGACUCCAGCAGCCAGGGGGAACUGUCUGUUAGAUGGGAGAGGGCCAGUGGAGAGCCAGCAGCAUUGACUCCUGGUCUUGGCAGAGGGAUCCACCAAUUGGCCAACGGAUCUCUGUUCUUCCCCCAGCUGAGAGAGGGGGACCUGGGGAGAUAUGUCUGUAGUGCAGGCAUUGGAGCCAAACACAUCAUGACUGUUGUCCAAGUGAUGGAAGCUGACCUGGAGGUGGUGUUCUUCAGUCCUCAGUCUCAGACAGUCAGUGAGGGUCGGCCAGUGUUCCUCCAGUGUGUCUCAGGGGACAGCUCCCCCCCAGCACACAUCACCUGGCUCAAAGACAACACACUCUUCACCAAAGGCGCUCAGAUUCAGGGUCAAUAUGGAGGGGGUAACCAGAGGAAGACCUCAGGCACUCUUCACCUCUCUAAUGUCUCAAUAGAGGACGACGGGGAAUACGUCUGUGUCACACACAACACCUUACUGAACACCAGCCGGGAAAGCAAGGCAGCUACACUCACAGUACAAGGUGAGACAAUGCACAGCCUCUCCCCUACUCGCUAUCCCUUCUGUCUGCCCUGUCCUGUCCUCUUAGAACAGCAUGGCUAG